This 237-nucleotide ribosomal RNA is filed under the name uncultured bacterium. Its description in RNAcentral is "partial 16S ribosomal RNA". It matches the Rfam family "Bacterial small subunit ribosomal RNA", at positions 15 to 235 of the family's 1533-position model. The record is from RNAcentral.
GAUCAUGGCUCAGGACGAACGCUGGCGGCGUGCUUAACACAUGCAAGUCGAACGAGAAUCUAAUGACGGAGUUUUCGGACAACUGAUUUAGAGGACAGUGGCGGACUGGUGAGUAACGCGUGAGGAACCUGCCUUUCAGAGGGGGACAACAGUUGGAAACGACUGCUAAUACCGCAUGAUGUGUAACUGGGACAUCCCGGAUACACCAAAGAUUUAUCGCUGAAAGAUGGCCUCGCG